RNAcentral lists this non-coding RNA (829 nucleotides) under Ocypode stimpsoni. The record is from RNAcentral. Lineage: Eukaryota; Metazoa; Arthropoda; Malacostraca; Decapoda; Ocypodidae.
UAAAUGUUUGAUUUUGGCUUGAAUUUUUGCGUUUAUAUUAAAAUCGCAUGAAAAUUAUGGGUGAGUUCAUAAUAAAUUAGUUUGAUACUAAUUUAUUAAAUAAUGUAAACUAAGUUUAUAAUGAAUAAGGCCUCAGCGUAGCUUAUUAGUUCAUUUGCACGGAAGUGUGAGUUAAUAAUAUAAUAAAAUCUGAUAAAUGUUUGUGCCAGCAUUCGCGGUUAAACUUCAGGGUUAAGUGAAAAUAUUUGAGUUGAUAGUAAAGUGAGUAGUUGAACAUAAAAUUUAGUUACUAUAAAGGGUAAAAUCAGAAUAUAGUUUAUAAAUUGGUAAAAGACUUUAGCUGAAACUAAAUAAAUUUGGUUAAAAACUAGGAUUAGAUACCCUAUUAUUCCAAAUUAAAAAUAAAUGCACCGGACUAGUACGAGUUACAUACUUAAAAAUUAAAAAAUUUGGCAGUAGUUUAAUCUUUUUAGAGGAACCUGUUUUUUGAUCGAUACACCACGAAGAAUCUUACUUACUCUUGUAAAGUUUAGUUUGUAUACCAUCAUUAUCAGAUGAUUCUAAAAGGAGAAAUUGUUGAAUUUAGUUUAUCUAGGGAAAUUAGAUCAUGGUGCAGCUUAUGGGUAAGUUAAAAUGGGUUACAAUAAAUUAAUUUAAAUGGAAUAUAAUAUGAAAAUUUAUAAUGAAGGAGGAUUUAAUUGUAUUGGGGGUUAAACAUAUGCCUUCAAGAAAUAAGCUCUAAAUUAUGUACAUAUCGCCCGUCGCUUUCAUUUAUAAGUGAAAUAAGUCGUAACAUAGUAGGUGCACUGGAAAGUGUACCUAGAAUUAA